GGAGGCCAAGGCAGGACGCGGGCUGCGGGCGUGGGAGGGCACGAUCUCAGCUCACUGCAACUCGGCGAGGCGCUGGCCGAGACCAUGACUAUUGGUUUUUAGGUGGUGUUUUGCUCUGUCAUCCAGGCUGGAGUGCAACGGCACAAUCUCAGCUCACUGCAACAUCUGCCUCCCAGGUUCAAGCCAUUGUCCUGCCUCAAGAGGAGAUUCUACUGUCUCAGCCUCCCGAGUAG
RNAcentral lists this long non-coding RNA (233 nucleotides) under Pan troglodytes (chimpanzee). RNAcentral's name for it is "long non-coding RNA NONPTRT004638". The record is from RNAcentral. Lineage: Eukaryota; Metazoa; Chordata; Mammalia; Primates; Hominidae.